This 425-nucleotide ribosomal RNA is filed under the name uncultured bacterium. RNAcentral describes it as "bacterial SSU rRNA". It matches the Rfam family "Bacterial small subunit ribosomal RNA", at positions 354 to 796 of the family's 1533-position model. The record is from RNAcentral.
GUGGGGAAUCUUAGACAAUGGGCGCAAGCCUGAUCUAGCCAUGCCGCGUGAGCGAUGAAGGCCUUAGGGUUGUAAAGCUCUUUCAGUGGGGAAGAUAAUGACUGUACCCACAGAAGAAGCCCCGGCUAACUCCGUGCCAGCAGCCGCGGUAAUACGGAGGGGGCUAGCGUUGUUCGGAAUUACUGGGCGUAAAGCGCACGUAGGCGGACUGGAAAGUCAGGGGUGAAAUCCCGGGGCUCAACCCCGGAACUGCCUUUGAAACUCCCAGUCUUGAGGUCGAGAGAGGUGAGUGGAAUUCCGAGUGUAGAGGUGAAAUUCGUAGAUAUUCGGAGGAACACCAGUGGCGAAGGCGGCUCACUGGCUCGAUACUGACGCUGAGGUGCGAAAGCGUGGGGAGCAAACAGGAUUAGAAACCCCGGUAGUCC